GGCAUAUACAUGCAAGUAUCCGCGUCCCAGUGUAAAUGCCCCUCUCACCCUAUUAGAGUAGAGGGAGCAGGUAUCAGGCACACCCUCAAUGGUAGCCCAAAACACCUUGCUCGGCCACACCCCCACGGGUAUUCAGCAGUAAUUAAUCUUAAGCAAUGAGUGUAAACUUGACUUAGCUAUAGCAUCCUAGGGUCGGUAAAUCUUGUGCCAGCCACCGCGGUCACACAAGAGACCCAAAUUAACUGCAAACACGGCGUAAAGAGUGGUAUCAUGUUAUCUCAACACCUAUGACCGAAAUGCAACUGAGCUGUCAUAAGCCUAAGGUGCACAUAAGGCCACCAUAAAGACGGUCCUAGUCCAUACGAUCAAAGUAAACUCCACGAAAGCUAAGGCACAAACUGGGAUUAGAUACCCCACUAUGCUUAGCCCUGAAUCCUGAUACUUACAUUACCAAAGUAUCCGCCUGAGAACUACGAGCACAAACGCUUAAAACUCUAAGGACUUGGCGGUGCCCCAAACCCACCUAGAGGAGCCUGUUCUAUAAUCGAUGACCCACGAUACACCCAACCUCCCCUCGCCAGGGCCAGCCUACAUACCGCCGUCGCCAGCUCACCUCCCCUGAUAGCACAACAGUGAGCAUAAUAGUCCUAACCCCACUAGUACGACAGGUCAAGGUAUAGCCUAUGGGAAGGAAAGAAAUGGGCUACAUUUUCUAACAUAGAAAACCAACGGAAAGGGAUUAUGAAACUCUCCCUGGAAGGCGGAUUUAGCAGUAAAGCAGGACAAUAGAGCCUUCUUUAAACCGGCUCUGGGGUACGUACAUACCGCCCGUCACCCUCCUCAUAAGCCACCACCCACAAUAACUUAAUACCCCCUACCAGCUAGAGAUGAGGUAAGUCGUAACAAGGUAAGUGUACCGGAAGGUGCACUUAGCAUAA
Molecule: non-coding RNA, 938 nt
Filed under: Nyctibius griseus
Lineage: Eukaryota; Metazoa; Chordata; Aves; Nyctibiiformes; Nyctibiidae
Description: partial 12S ribosomal RNA
Rfam family: Bacterial small subunit ribosomal RNA
Source: RNAcentral